Molecule: long non-coding RNA, 641 nt
Filed under: Rattus norvegicus (Norway rat)
Lineage: Eukaryota; Metazoa; Chordata; Mammalia; Rodentia; Muridae
Description: long non-coding RNA NONRATT005671
Source: RNAcentral
AGUCAGAAUGAUCACCGUCUGAGUACCCACACUCCUCCUAACCUUAUACCUACGGAGCAGGUACUCAGGACCAGCCUGUGCCUUAAAGCCCAUCAGUCAAUCAAUCAGUAAGCUCCCUUGGAUGGGAAGGGAGGCCUCCUCCCCCAUCCCUCUCUCAGCUGUUGACGAGCAGAAGUCCCUCUCUCAGCUGUUGACGAGCAGAAGUCCAGGAACCUCCCUCCAAUACUGCCUUUGGACCCAACCUGAUCCCACACUCCUUCCUUCUCAUUCCAAGUUAUCCUUCCUGUGCCAGAUAGGGAAGGAGCCAGGGUGUGCCUUGAGUUCAUCAAUCUGCUCCUUCUCUAAUAUUGAGGGGCCUUUGUAUUUCUUUUGUAUUUUUUUUCUUAUUUUGUUUCAUGUUGGUGGAGUAUAUGUCCUUAAUUAAAAGGUGGCUUGUUUCCUAUUUGUACACUCGGAACAUUUACUGGAUGCUGAAGGCAGUUAUGUUGGCCUUCAGAACCAAGUCCUAGGGGCUUAGAGGACCUUGCUAACCUAUGUGAAGGAAUGCAUAGGGCUGUGGAGCAUACUGAUUUGAGGUGGCUGCAUGUUGACCCACACUGGAUUGGGAAAGACCUCCCAGGUUCAAGAUGCCUACUCAACCA